This 1346-nucleotide ribosomal RNA is filed under the name uncultured bacterium. Its description in RNAcentral is "partial 16S ribosomal RNA". It matches the Rfam family "Bacterial small subunit ribosomal RNA", at positions 28 to 1381 of the family's 1533-position model. The record is from RNAcentral.
GACGAACGCUGGCGGCGUGCUUAACACAUGCAAGUCGAACGGAAAGGCCCUGCUUUUGUGGGGUGCUCGAGUGGCGAACGGGUGAGUAACACGUGAGUAACCUGCCCUUGACUUUGGGAUAACUUCAGGAAACUGGGGCUAAUACCGGAUAGGAGCUCCUGCUGCAUGGUGGGGGUUGGAAAGUUUCGGCGGUUGGGGAUGGACUCGCGGCUUAUCAGCUUGUUGGUGGGGUAGUGGCUUACCAAGGCUUUGACGGGUAGCCGGCCUGAGAGGGUGACCGGCCACAUUGGGACUGAGAUACGGCCCAGACUCCUACGGGAGGCAGCAGUGGGGAAUAUUGCACAAUGGGCGGAAGCCUGAUGCAGCAACGCCGCGUGCGGGAUGACGGCCUUCGGGUUGUAAACCGCUUUCGCCUGUGACGAAGCGUGAGUGACGGUAAUGGGUAAAGAAGCACCGGCUAACUACGUGCCAGCAGCCGCGGUGAUACGUAGGGUGCGAGCGUUGUCCGGAUUUAUUGGGCGUAAAGGGCUCGUAGGUGGUUGAUCGCGUCGGAAGUGUAAUCUUGGGGCUUAACCCUGAGCGUGCUUUCGAUACGGGUUGACUUGAGGAAGGUAGGGGAGAAUGGAAUUCCUGGUGGAGCGGUGGAAUGCGCAGAUAUCAGGAGGAACACCAGUGGCGAAGGCGGUUCUCUGGGCCUUUCCUGACGCUGAGGAGCGAAAGCGUGGGGAGCGAACAGGCUUAGAUACCCUGGUAGUCCACGCUGUAAACGGUGGGUACUAGGUGUGGGGUCCAUUCCACGGGUUCCGUGCCGUAGCUAACGUUUUAAGUACCCCGCCUGGGGAGUACGGCCGCAAGGCUAAAACUCAAAGGAAUUGACGGGGCCCCGCACAAGCGGCGGAGCAUGCGGAUUAAUUCGAUGCAACGCGUAGAACCUUACCUGGGUUUGACAUGGAUCGGGAGUGCUCAGAGAUGGGUGUGCCUCUUUUGGGGUCGGUUCACAGGUGGUGCAUGGCUGUCGUCAGCUCGUGUCGUGAGAUGUUGGGUUAAGUCCCGCAACGAGCGCAACCCUUGUUCACUGUUGCCAGCACGUUAUGGUGGGGACUCAGUGGAGACCGCCGGGGUCAACUCGGAGGAAGGUGGGGAUGACGUCAAGUCAUCAUGCCCCUUAUGUCCAGGGCUUCACGCAUGCUACAAUGGCUGGUACAGAGAGUGGCGAGCCUGUGAGGGUGAGCGAAUCUCGGAAAGCCGGUCUCAGUUCGGAUUGGGGUCCGCAACUCGACCUCAUGAAGUCGGAGUCGCUAGUAAUCGCAGAUCAGCAACGCUGCGGUGAAUACGUUCCCAGGGCU